This 1314-nucleotide ribosomal RNA is filed under the name metagenome. RNAcentral describes it as "bacterial LSU rRNA". It matches the Rfam family "Bacterial large subunit ribosomal RNA", at positions 1599 to 2925 of the family's 2925-position model. The record is from RNAcentral.
AUCAUGCUUCCAAGAAAAGCUUCUAAGGAGAAGACAUAGUACCCGUACCGAGAACCAACACAGGUGGACGAGGAGAGUAUCCUAAGACGAACGGAAGAACUCUCGUUAAGGAACUCGGCAAAAUGACUCCGUAACUUAGGGAUAAGGAGUGCCUCCUCAAGAGAUUGAGAGGCCGCAGUGAAUAGGCCCAAGCGACUGUUUACCAAAAACACAGCUCUCUGCAAAGUCGCAAGACGAAGUAUAGGGGGUGACGCCUGCCCGGUGCUGGAAGGUUAAGAGGAAAUGUCAGCGCAAGCGAAGCAUCGAAUUGAAGCCCCAGUAAACGGCGGCCGUAACAAUAACGGUCCUAAGGUAGCGAAAUUCCUUGUCGGGUAAGUUCCGACCCGCACGAAAGGCGUAACGAUUUGGGCACUGUCUCAACGAGAGAUCCGGUGAAAUCUUAGUACCUGUGAAGAUGCAGGUUACCCGCGACAGGACGAAAAGACCCCAUGGAGCUUUACUGUAGCUUGAUAUUGAUAUUUGCUGUAUGAUGUACAGGAUAGGUAGGAGACUGAGAGUAUUGCACGCUAGUGUAGUAGGAGUCAAUGUUGGGAUACUACCCUUUAUGCAAUGAAUAUCUAACUUAUUACCAUAAUCUGGUAAGAGGACAGUGUCUGGUGGGCAGUUUGACUGGGGCGGUCGCCUCCUAAAGAGUAACGGAGGCGCCCAAAGGUUCCCUCAGAAUGGUUGGAAAUCAUUCGAAGAGUGUAAAGGCAGAAGGGAGCUUGACUGCGAGACAGACAAGUCGAGCAGGGACGAAAGUCGGGCUUAGUGAUCUGGCGAUACCGAAUGGAAGGGUCGUCACUCAACGGAUAAAAGCUACCCUGGGGAUAACGGCUUAUCUCCCCCAAGAGUUCACAUCGACGGGGAGGUUUGGCACCUCGAUGUCGGCUCAUCACAUCCUGGAGCUGUAUUUGGUUCCAAGGGUUGGGCUGUUCGCCCAUUAAAGUGGUACGCGAGCUGGGUUCAGAACGUCGUGAGACAGUUCGGUCUCUAUCCGUCGUGGGCGUAGGAAAUUUGCGAGGAGCUGUCCUUAGUACGAGAGGACCGGGAUGGACAUACCACUGGUGUACCAGUUGUUCUGCUCUAGGGCACGGCUGGAUAGCUACGUAUGGAAGGGAUAAACGCUGAAAGCAUCUAAGCGUGAAGCCCCCCUCAAGAUGGGAUUUCCCAUAGUGAAUAACUAUAAGACCCCAGGAAGACUACCUGGUUGAUAGGUCAGGGGUGUAAGCGUUGAAAGACGUUGAGCUAACUGAUACUAAUUGGUCGAGGGCC